RNAcentral lists this non-coding RNA (26 nucleotides) under Cricetulus griseus (Chinese hamster). Lineage: Eukaryota; Metazoa; Chordata; Mammalia; Rodentia; Cricetidae. The record is from RNAcentral.
UGUGGAAGGGACUCUGUGUGACUGGU